RNAcentral lists this ribosomal RNA (808 nucleotides) under uncultured Campylobacter sp. RNAcentral's name for it is "bacterial SSU rRNA". It matches the Rfam family "Bacterial small subunit ribosomal RNA", at positions 406 to 1229 of the family's 1533-position model. Lineage: Bacteria; Pseudomonadati; Campylobacterota; Epsilonproteobacteria; Campylobacterales; Campylobacteraceae. The record is from RNAcentral.
GGAUGACACUUUUCGGAGCGUAAACUCCUUUUAUCAGGAAAGAAUAAUGACGGUACCUGAUGAAUAAGCACCGGCUAACUCCGUGCCAGCAGCCGCGGUAAUACGGGGGGUGCAAGCGUUACUCGGAAUCACUGGGCGUAAAGGACGCGUAGGCGGAUUAUCAAGUCUUUUGUGAAAUCUAGUGGCUUAACCACUAAACUGCUUAGGAAACUGAUAGUCUAGAGUAGGGGAGAGGUAGAUGGAAUUCUUGGUGUAGGGGUAAAAUCCGUAGAGAUCAAGAAGAAUACCCAUUGCGAAAGCGAUCUGCUGGAACCUAACUGACGCUGAGGCGUGAAAGCGUGGGUAGCAAACAGGAUUAGAUACCCUGGUAGUCCACGCCCUAAACGAUGUAUACUAGUUGUUGCUUUGCUAGUCAAGGCAGUAAUGCAACUAACGCAUUAAGUAUACCGCCUGGGGAGUACGGUCGCAAGAUUAAAACUCAAAGGAAUAGACGGGGACCCGCACAAGCGGUGGAGCAUGUGGUUUAAUUCGAAGAUACGCGAAGAACCUUACCUGGACUUGACAUCCUAAAAACAUCUAAGAGAUUAGAAAGUGCUAGUUUACUAGAAUUUAGUGACAGGUGCUGCACGGCUGUCGUCAGCUUGUGUCGUGAGAUGUUGGGUUAAGUCCCGCAACGAGCGCAACCCACGUGUUUAGUUGCUAACAGCUCGGCUGAGCACUCUAAACAGACUGCCUUCGUAAGGAGGAGGAAGGUGUGGACGACGUCAAGUCAUCAUGGCCCUUAUGUCCAGGCGACACACGUGCUACA